RNAcentral lists this ribosomal RNA (492 nucleotides) under uncultured bacterium. RNAcentral's name for it is "partial 16S ribosomal RNA". It matches the Rfam family "Bacterial small subunit ribosomal RNA", at positions 29 to 507 of the family's 1533-position model. The record is from RNAcentral.
AGCGAACGCUGGCGGCAGGCCUAACACAUGCAAGUCGAACGGCAGCUCCGUAAGUACUUGCGCUUGCGUGUGGCGCAUGGCGGACGGGGCAGGUAUAUAUGGGAAACUUCUUUUACGCGUGUGCUAAUGUAGGAAAAGUUCCUCUAGUACCAGAUACGACGCCCUUGGGACAGCAGGGGAUCUUCUGACCUUGCGCGUUUGGAUGAGCCGCUGUCGGGUUAGCUAGUGGGCGGGGUCACGGCCCACCAAGGCCCAGAUCCGUAGCGCGCCAGAGCGGAGGAUCCGCUACAUUGGAGCUGAGACACGGUCCAGACUCCUACGGGAGGCAGCAGUGGGGAAUAUUGGGCAAGGGGGGAAAGGCUGAUCCAGCGAUACCGCGUGGGUGAAGAAGGCGUUCGGGUUGUAAAGCCCUGUUGUUGGGAGAGAAAAGCAGCAGGUUAAUACGCCGCUGUUCUGACGGUACCCAGAGAAUAAGCACCGGCUAACUUCGUG